GAUGAACGCUGGCGGCGUGCCUAACACAUGCAAGUCGAGCGAAUCGCUUACAUCAGCUUUCUUCGGAAUGACGAUUUUUGUGACUGAGCGGCGGACGGGUGAGUAACGCGCGGGUAAUGCGACCCCUACAGGGGGAUAACAGUUAGAAAUGACUGCUAAUACCGCAUAAGAUCCCAGCUUCGCAUGAAGCGGUGGUAAAAACUCCGGUGGUAUGAGGUGGACCCGCGUCGGAUUAGCGAGUUGGUAAGGUAACGGCUACCAAGGCGACGAUCAGUAGCCGACCUGAGAGGGUGACCGGACACUGUGGCACUGGGACACGGCCCAGACGACUACGGGAGACAGGAGUAGGGAAUAUUGCAAAAUGGGGGAAACCCUGAUGCGGCCACGCCGCGUGAAGGAUGAAGUUUUUAGGUAUGUAAAGUUCUAUCAGCAGGGAGGAAAGUGACGGUACCUGACCAAGAAGCCCCGGCUAACUACGUG
Molecule: ribosomal RNA, 480 nt
Filed under: uncultured bacterium
Lineage: Bacteria
Description: partial 16S ribosomal RNA
Rfam family: Bacterial small subunit ribosomal RNA
Source: RNAcentral